GACGAACGCUGGCGGCGUGCCUAAUACAUGCAAGUAGAACGCUGAAGGAGGAGCUUGCUUCUCUGGAUGAGUUGCGAACGGGUGAGUAACGCGUAGGUAACCUGCCUGGUAGCGGGGGAUAACUAUUGGAAACGAUAGCUAAUACCGCAUAAUAGCAGUUGUUGCAUGACAACUGUUUGAAAGGUGCAAAUGCAUCACUACCAGAUGGACCUGCGUUGUAUUAGCUAGUUGGUGGGGUAAAGGCUCACCAAGGCGACGAUACAUAGCCGACCUGAGAGGGUGAUCGGCCACACUGGGACUGAGACACGGCCCAGACUCCUACGGGAGGCAGCAGUAGGGAAUCUUCGGCAAUGGACGGAAGUCUGACCGAGCAACGCCGCGUGAGUGAAGAAGGUUUUCGGAUCGUAAAGCUCUGUUGUAAGAGAAGAACGAGUGUGAGAGUGGAAAGUUCACACUGUGACGGUAUCUUACCAGAAAGAGACGGCUAACUACGUG
This 495-nucleotide ribosomal RNA is filed under the name uncultured bacterium. RNAcentral describes it as "partial 16S ribosomal RNA". It matches the Rfam family "Bacterial small subunit ribosomal RNA", at positions 28 to 507 of the family's 1533-position model. The record is from RNAcentral.